Molecule: ribosomal RNA, 279 nt
Filed under: uncultured bacterium
Lineage: Bacteria
Description: partial 16S ribosomal RNA
Rfam family: Bacterial small subunit ribosomal RNA
Source: RNAcentral
UGCCAGCAGCCGCGGUAAUACGGAGGGUGCAAGCGUUAAUCGGAAUCACUGGGCGUAAAGCGCGCGUAGGCGGCUUGGUAAGUCAGAUGUGAAAGCCCCGGGCUCAACCUGGGAAUUGCAUUUGAUACUGCCAAACUAGAGUGUAGUAGAGGGAAGUGGAAUUCCGAGUGUAGCGGUGAAAUGCGUAGAUAUUCGGAGGAACAUCAGUGGCGAAGGCGACUUCCUGGACUAACACUGACGCUGAGGUGCGAAAGCGUGGGUAGCAAACAGGAUUAGAUA